This is a long non-coding RNA of Centropristis striata (black sea bass), 3070 nucleotides long. RefSeq lists it as uncharacterized. Lineage: Eukaryota; Metazoa; Chordata; Actinopteri; Perciformes; Serranidae. The transcript is spliced from 6 exons. The record is from RefSeq and is a predicted model, not a curated record.
GUUUAACGGCCCACUCUCUACACCUGUUCGUUUACUGCCGCUUCUUCCUUGUGUCGACAGUUUAUCUCAAAGUCUGCACUUUCAUAAAGUUCUCCAUCCCAUCUAUUGGUGACCAAGAAACCUGGUGGAGACCGCAUUAUCAAGGAAUACAAGCGGACCAAAGGCCAGACCUCAUAGUGACAGAUGGUUAACAUCCUUGCUCCACACAUCACUAAAAUACAUCUACUGCAGAUUGAGCAGACUUCAUCCUGCAGUUUGAAGAUGUAGCUGCCAAGUUUUUGGAGUGGUGGCCCACUACUUUGAAGCAAAAUGUCAUCCAGCAAAGCAAGGCGUCAAAUAAAGAGGAAGUGGAUGAUGCUCUUUUCUCUGGCGAGGUGUCUGCAUCCCAAGCUGAGAAGCAUCUUGUCAUGGAGUCAUGAGUGAAACCAGCAUCUAAGAACAUAUUGAUGUCCUCAACGGCAUAACUCAACCUUAUCUACUUGCCGUUGGAAUGAAGAGGAGCAGGAUCCACAAGUUCAUCGUUCUGGACGGGCAGGUCAUAACAUGCAAGUCAACCACUUCUCUCGGAGCUUAUGAUUAACCUCUUUUAGGCACACUUGGUAUUUUACUAUGAGGUGCCCCACAACAUGUACACCUUCAUACAGACAACGGUGUACAACAUGGAUAUCUGCAAAAUGCAUGAGAGCCAACAGGUUGCCGAGGUUAGGGCUGGACUGCUACACUAAUUGAUUUAUCAGUUGAUCCUUUAUCAAUACUAUUGCACUGUUUUUUUGGAUAUCGUGAGCAAUUUAUUUUUUAUUUCAUUUUACCCAUUGAUUCAUGGUUUCUGUCCUGGUCAAUCACUUAUCCUGAAAUGUGCUCCGGCAGGAUGUUACGUUUCUGGUACCUACCUCGGACUUCAGGAAACAUGACUCGGUAAUACUAGCACCAUGUAGUAUCAAACUUACCAUGUGUCAAGGUUGAAACAUCCGCUGCUUUACGGCAGCUCAACACAAUGGUUGACCUCAUGCAUCACAACAACAGACACAUUGUACAACAGGUACCUUGGUCAGUUAAAUAAGAUUAUUCCCUGGAUCCUUCACACUUACACUGAGAGAUUAUUCAUUUGAACUGUGUUUAACCUUAACACGCCAAUAUGAACUCAUUUUAAUCUUUGUAGCAUUUUGUGAACGGGCAGCCUACCUUGCGGAGUUAUUACUCCAAAAACACUUGUUAAAACAUUGCCUGACUGCUCCAUGGCUGCUGACAGUCAUGGGAGCUUGACGUACAUAGCAACAGUAAAUAAGGGGGCGAAGCUUAUGCGAAUGAUCAAUUGAGGACGUCCACUAGCUCCUUCAGGGCUUUGAAUGCAGCCACCUCUCCUUGGAGAUGGCCGUCCUUUUGAGUCAUUGACCUGUACACUCCUGAUCUAAUUUUUUCUUAGUAUCAAAAAUAAAUAAAAAUACAGAUUCUUAAACACUGCCUUAAAAUUGUGCAAUCUCACAUUCAGAAUCAGAACCAAAAUGUUUCAACAGAAGUGCUUGGCUUUGGACCGGGACUUGGAACAAGAGUCUUACACCCUCUUUACAGUCUCAAGUCUCUUGUGUGUGCAAGCCUUUAGAAGCACUUGGUUGCAGUGAAGGAAAGUGACCAUAUUUACAUGCUAGGGGCGGGUAAUAUGGCCCUAAAAGAUUAUAUAUAUUUCAGGGUAUUUUUGCGAUUACAAAAUACUGAAAUGUAUAGAAAAUAUAUAUUUUUUUUGUCUGUAUAGUUAAACAUACAACUAAAUAAAAAUCAAUCAAUCAUAAAUCUAAAAUGUGUUAAUUGCAAAUCAACAGUUGACAAAUACAAAAUAAUUACUCUCAACUCUUGAGUAUAAGCAAAUAAUAAAAAAUAACCAUCUAGGGGGCAUGCCCCCCUUGUGAUAAAAUUUUGUACAUUUUAAGUAAAAUGCAUCAAUCUUGUCGACUUGGAGAGCUAAAUGUCUUUUUUAGUAAACCUUUUCUUUAUACAGGUAAUCUCAUUGAGACACAGGGUCUCAUUCUCAAGAGAGACCUGAUAAAUGUGAGCCAUUACCUCAUGAUAUUUUUCGCAGUCAAUGCCCCUGUGGAGAAAUGUUUUUCAUAAAAGCCCAAAUUUGGUGGCCUAACAUUCUAAUGGCACUAUUCCAUCAUAUACACUGAUCUUAAUCAUUGCCUGUUUCAAUUAACUAUUAUAAAGGAGAAUAAGGGUUCUUGUAUGUUUUAUUUAAGGCAUCUUAUUUUGACAGUCUUGUAAAUUCUGUGGUUUCUGUUAACACACUGCUCUUAUUUUGAAAGAUGCAUUGUUUAGUAACUGGAAGUAAUACGUUUUUGUGACUAAAACUUUAUUUGUUAGCUAACGUUAGCUCGCGACUAACGACCAGCCUAAUGCAACAAUGUGUUUGGAUCUGACUGGCUGGACAGGUUGAUUUUGGCCUGUAAAUUACUGCCAUCACUAUACUGGAAGAUGCACAGUUGUAAAUCAAUCAUUCCAAAUUGACAUCUGGCACAUGCAUUAUGUCCCCCACUACACUAUCUAAGCUAGGGCUGAUAUGGACCAAAAGUCAUAUCCCGAUAUAUUUAGGCUGAAUAGCGAUAUACGAUUUAUAUCCUGAUAUUUUUAUCGCAAAGUGAAAGCAAAUGUUCAGUCAAAGCCAAAUAUGACAUGUCAAACAUAAAUGACAUGUGAACAUAAAUACUGUAUAACAGGAGUGCUUAAAAAAAUAGCCUAUGAAAUAAAAUAGGUCAAACUUUUUCUGAAAUAAAUAUAUUUAUAUGACAAAAGAAUAAAAUACAUUACAAAGGAACUAAAUCCUGUCAGAAUAAUAUAAAUCCAUUAAUCAAAUGGGCUUAUGCUUAAACACACUCAUACAACAACGUGCUUUCCAUAAUCAGGCUGAAGAAAUAUUCUACAUUAUUUUCUCAUUUCAUAGUUUAUUUUUUUAAUCAACAUCAGUCCUAAUCAUAAAUAUCAAAUAUUAUAUUAAUUUUCUGAAUUUUAAUCCUGCAAGUGAUUUAUGUAUUUUUGUAUAAUUUAUAAAUGUGACUAUACUGUAUGUACAUUUACUCAU